Non-coding RNA from Sus scrofa (pig), 995 nucleotides. Lineage: Eukaryota; Metazoa; Chordata; Mammalia; Artiodactyla; Suidae. The record is from RefSeq and is a predicted model, not a curated record.
UCCCCCCCACCCCCCGCGGCGGCGGCGGCAGCAGAGGCAGCGGAGGCGAGAGCAGGUGCUGGAGCUGGAGCCCAGCGAGAACCAGUGGCAGGACCUUGUUCCCCGAAGCAGGGCCCCGCCUCCCAGCCCUGCCCGGCCAGCGCCCAGCCUUGCGUGCCGCCUGCUGAGUCCAUCCGCUUCACGCUGCCCCCUCCGCCAGCCGCGCCGCCCUUCCUGGGGGCGAUUAGGUGCUUUUUGCUGUUUUUUUAAUUUGGGCCGCCGGAGGGGGAGGAGGGGCAGGUGCUGCAGGCCCCACCCCCCUCCCCGCCUCCGGCCAGCCUUGGCAGCGUGACUCCACCCUGUCUCUGGGCACCGCGUGCUGCGUGGUUGGAGCGAUCGUACAGCGGAGGCUGCGCCCAGAGAGGAGCGCAGUUCUCCACCCCACCAGGCGGCAGCGGCUAGGACGACUCUGAGAGCCGGGCAGCACAGAUCUGAGUCGAGUCUGAGACCUACACCACAGCUCACAGCAACACGGGAUCCUUAACCCACUGAGCUAGGCCAGGGAUCGAACUUGCGUCCUCAUGCAUACGAGUCAGAUUCAUUUCCACUGAGCCACGACAGGAACUCCCUAAAUAUAUUUGUUAAUAAACCAAUGGUUCUCCAGACUUUUCAGCAUACUGAGUGCUAAAGCAAACAAGAGAUUCUUCUCAAAAUAUGUUGGUGGCUUGAGAGAUGUCAUGACCAAGUGGUGAUCUAUACAGAAGGAACAUGAAGCAUGAGGGAGGCUUUUAGCUUGAAUUGGAAGACAUCCUUCUAGAAUGUUAGCAAUCAGUGAAAAAGUACAGGUCUUCUAGGCACACCCACUCCAUGUAUGAAGAAGAAAUGUGAACAGAAGAAGCACAUUCAGCUCAUUGCUGGCUUGCAUGUAUUUUCUAAGAUUUGUUUAAACGCCUCUACUCUCAAGUUUUAUAUUUGUUGUAUUUUGAUGUAAAAUUCAUAAAUUUUUUUUUUUUUUU